GUACUUUAGAUAUGUUGGGUUUAUUUUUAAUUUUUCAAAAUGUGGCUAAUAGAAAAUUUAAAGUUAUAUAUGUAGCUUACAUAAUAUUUCUAUUUGCUGUAGGAUUCAGUGGCUUACCCAGCACUUCAGAAGACAUUUGAAAAUCAGUCAUGUUCCUCAACCAAGUGAUGCCUUUUAGCGGUGCAAAUUCUGUGCUUAGGAAACUUGCUGCUUGCCCUAAUCUUUUCUUUUUUUGUUUUAAAAUGUGUCAUGUGGCAUUUAAUUGUCCUCAUCUUAUCAAGGGUUCAGUGCACCCUAAUGAGACUUGAAUGCAUCACAAAAUGAUGGAGGAAGGUAGCCUGGGCCCAACUGAACUCACUGUGUAUUCAGAAAAUAACCCACAGUUGGGAAAUUCACAGUGCCAUUGCUUUGAAUCAAAUCCUUACUUCAUACCAG
Molecule: long non-coding RNA, 435 nt
Filed under: Homo sapiens (human)
Lineage: Eukaryota; Metazoa; Chordata; Mammalia; Primates; Hominidae
Description: non-protein coding lnc-MAPK6-10:1
Source: RNAcentral